Molecule: ribosomal RNA, 491 nt
Filed under: uncultured bacterium
Lineage: Bacteria
Description: partial 16S ribosomal RNA
Rfam family: Bacterial small subunit ribosomal RNA
Source: RNAcentral
AGUGAACGCUGGCGGUAGGCCUAACACAUGCAAGUCGAACGGCAGCACAGUAAGAGCUUGCUCUUACGGGUGGCGAGUGGCGGACGGGUGAGGAAUACAUCGGAAUCUACUUUUUCGUGGGGGUUAAGUAGGGGAACUUAAGGCAAUUACGCCAAAGAACUUCGGGUGAAAACAGGGGAAUUUUCGAACCUGCCCCGUUGGAUUGGCCGAUGUCGGAUUAGCUAGUUGGCGGGGUAAAGGCCCACCAAGGCGACGAUCCGUAGCUGGUCUGAGAGGAUGAUCAGCCACACUGGAACUGAGACACGGUCCAGACUCCUACGGGAGGCAGCAGUGGGGAAUAUUGGACAAUGGGCGCAAGCCUGAUCCAGCCAUACCGCGUGGGUGAAGGAGGCCUUCGGGUUGUAAAGCCCUUUUGUUGGGAAAGAAAAGCAGCAGGUUAAUACCCCGCUGUUCUGACGGUACCCAAAGAAUAAGCACCGGCUAACUUCGUG